Molecule: ribosomal RNA, 468 nt
Filed under: uncultured bacterium
Lineage: Bacteria
Description: partial 16S ribosomal RNA
Rfam family: Bacterial small subunit ribosomal RNA
Source: RNAcentral
GACGAACGCUGGCGGCGUGCUUAACACAUGCAAGUCGAACGGAAAGGCCCUGAUUUUGUGGGGUGCUCGAGUGGCGAACGGGUGAGUAAAACGUGAGUAACCUGCCCUUGACUUUGGGAUAACUUCAGGAAACUGGGGCUAAUACCGGAUAGGAGCUCCUGCUGCAUGGUGGGGGUUGGAAAGUUUCGGCGGUUGGGGCUGGACUGGCGGGUUAUCAGCUUGCUGGUGGGGUAGUGGCUUACCAAGGCUUUGACGGGUAGCCGGCCUGAGAGGGUGACAGGCGACACAGGGACCUAGGUGCGGCCGAGGCUGCGAAGGGAGGGAGCAGGGGGGAAUAUUGCAGGAUGGGCGGAAGCCGGGUGCAGCAACGCCGCGUGCGGGAAAACUGCCUUAGGGGUGUAGACCGCAUUCGCCUGUGACGAAGCGUGAGUGACGGUAAUGGGUAAAGAAGCACCGGCUAACUACGUG